ACAUUGCCUUUUGUAUAUAUUAAAGGUACAUCCUGCCCAGUGACAAACGUUAAACGGCCGCGGUACCCUGACCGUGCUAAGGUAGCAUAAUCAUUUGCCUCUUAAUUGGUGGCUAGUAUGAAAGGACAAACGAGAGCUUAACUGUCUCUUACUUAAACCCCUUAAAUUAACCUCCGGGUGAAAAGGCCCGAUUUAUUUUAUAAGACAAGAAGACCCUGUCAAGCUUUACUAAAACCAUAUGCAACCAGAAAUUUUAAACCAUCUGCUUUCCAUCUAGUAAUAGUUUAGUUGGGGCGACUAAGGACCAAACCUAACGUCCUUCCAAUACCAAAGGACUAUAAUCCUAAAAACCUGAUCCCAUAAAGGAUAAAGAGACAAGCUACUGCAGGGAUAACAGGCUAAUUUUUCCUGAGAGUCCAAAUCGAAGGAAAAGUUUGGCACCUCGAUGUUGGCUUAAGAUAACCAUAAAGUGCAGCAGCUUUACAUGGUAGGUUGUUCACCCUUUAAA
Molecule: ribosomal RNA, 508 nt
Filed under: Leitoscoloplos pugettensis
Lineage: Eukaryota; Metazoa; Annelida; Polychaeta; Orbiniidae
Description: partial 16S ribosomal RNA
Rfam family: Bacterial large subunit ribosomal RNA
Source: RNAcentral